AGCAGCCGCGGUAAUUCCAGCUCCAGUAGCGUAUAUUAAAGUUGCUGCAGUUAAAAAAGCUCGUAGUUGAAUUUCUGUUUGUAAGAGUCGAAGCUUUUACAGCUAAGAUUUCUUCGAACAUCUGUUUGCAAGCAUACGUUCGGCCUUCACUGGUUGGCUAUGUAAGCAAGCGCUUUACCUUGAGAAAAUUAGAGUGUUCCAGGCAGGCUUCAGCCGGAAUACAUUAGCAUGGAAUAAUGGAAUAGGACUGGGGACUAUUUAUUGGUUUGAGGCUCCAGUAAUGAUUAAUAGGAACAGUCGGGGGCAUUGGUACUUAACAGUCAGAGGUGAAAUUCUUGGAUUUGUUAAAGACUAACUAAUGCGAAAGCAUUUGCCAAGCAUGUUUUCAUUAAUCAAGAACGAAAGUUAGGGGAUCAAAGACGAUUAGAUACCGUCCUAGUCUUAACUGUAAACGAUUCCAUCUUAGAAUUGGGUGAAUAUUUGAUGAUUCAUCCAGCGCUAUAAGAGAAAUC
Molecule: ribosomal RNA, 512 nt
Filed under: uncultured eukaryote
Lineage: Eukaryota
Description: SSU rRNA
Rfam family: Eukaryotic small subunit ribosomal RNA
Source: RNAcentral